GAUGAACGCUGGCGGCGCGCCUAACGCAUGCAAGUCGAACGAUUAAAGCACCUUCGGGUGUGUAUAAAGUGGCGAACGGCUGAGUAACACGUGGGCAACCUGCCCCUUUCAUUGGGAUAGCCACGGGAAACCGUGGAUAAUACCGAAUACUUCGAGACUUCCGCAUGGAAGACUCGAGAAAGCUCCGGCGGAGAGGGAUGGGCCCGCGGCCUGUUAGCUUGUUGGUGGGGUAACGGCCUACCAAGGCAAUGAUGGGUAGCUGGGUUGAGAGACCGACCAGCCAGAUUGGGACUGAGACACGGCCCAGACUCCUACGGGAGGCAGCAGUGGGGAAUCUUGCACAAUGGGCGAAAGCCUGAUGCAGCGACGCCGCGUGCGGGAUGAAGGCCUUCGGGUUGUAAACCGCUUUCAGCAGGGACGAGGCGAAAGUGACGGUACCUGCAGAAGAAGCCCCGGCUAACUACGUG
RNAcentral lists this ribosomal RNA (467 nucleotides) under uncultured bacterium. RNAcentral's name for it is "partial 16S ribosomal RNA". It matches the Rfam family "Bacterial small subunit ribosomal RNA", at positions 28 to 507 of the family's 1533-position model. The record is from RNAcentral.